RNAcentral lists this ribosomal RNA (251 nucleotides) under uncultured bacterium. RNAcentral describes it as "partial 16S ribosomal RNA". It matches the Rfam family "Bacterial small subunit ribosomal RNA", at positions 1249 to 1500 of the family's 1533-position model. The record is from RNAcentral.
GCAAAGUCGUGAGGCGGAGCAAAUCACAAAACACAGUCUCAGUUCAGAUUGUAGGCUGAAACUCGCCUAUAUGAAGUCGGAAUUGCUAGUAAUCGCGGAUCAGCAUGCCGCGGUGAAUACGUUCCCGGGCCUUGUACACACCGCCCGUCACACCAUGAGAGUCGAUAACACCCGAAGCCUGUAGUCUAACCUUAGAGGGGACGCAGUCGAAGGUGGGAUUGAUAAUUAGGGUGAAGUCGUAACAAGGUAAC